CGAACGGGUGAGUAAUAUAUCGGAACGUGCCCAGUCGUGGGGGAUAACGCAGCGAAAGCUGUGCUAAUACCGCAUACGAUCUAUGGAUGAAAGCGGGGGACUCGCAAGGGCCUCGCGCGAUUGGAGCGGCCGAUAUCAGAUUAGGUAGUUGGUGGGGUAAAGGCUCACCAAGCCGACGAUCUGUAGCUGGUCUGAGAGGACGACCAGCCACACUGGAACUGAGACACGGUCCAGACUCCUACGGGAGGCAGCAGUGGGGAAUUUUGGACAAUGGGCGCAAGCCUGAUCCAGCAAUGCCGCGUGCAGGAUGAAGGCCUUCGGGUUGUAAACUGCUUUUGUACGGAACGAAAAGGCUCUGGUUAAUACCUGGGGCCCAUGACGGUACCGUAAGAAUAAGCACCGGCUAACUACGUGCCAGCAGCCGCGGUAAUACGUAGGGUGCGAGCGUUAAUCGGAAUUACUGGGCGUAAAGCGUGCGCAGGCGGUAAUGCAAGACAGAUGUGAAAUCCCCGGGCUUAACCUGGGAACUGCAUUUGUGACUGCAUUGCUGGAGUGCGGCAGAGGGGGAUGGAAUUCCGCGUGUAGCAGUGAAAUGCGUAGAUAUGCGGAGGAACACCGAUGGC
This 623-nucleotide ribosomal RNA is filed under the name Pseudorhodoferax sp. Its description in RNAcentral is "bacterial SSU rRNA". It matches the Rfam family "Bacterial small subunit ribosomal RNA", at positions 99 to 716 of the family's 1533-position model. Lineage: Bacteria; Pseudomonadati; Pseudomonadota; Betaproteobacteria; Burkholderiales; Comamonadaceae. The record is from RNAcentral.